RNAcentral lists this ribosomal RNA (253 nucleotides) under uncultured bacterium. RNAcentral describes it as "partial 16S ribosomal RNA". It matches the Rfam family "Bacterial small subunit ribosomal RNA", at positions 524 to 776 of the family's 1533-position model. The record is from RNAcentral.
UACGUAGGGGGCAAGCGUUGUCCGGAGUUAUUGGGCGUAAAGAGCGUGUAGGCGGCCAGGGAGGUCCGUUGUGAAAACUCGAGGCUCAACCUCGAGACGCCGAUGGAAACCCCCUGGCUAGAGUCCGGAAGAGGAGAGUGGAAUUCCUGGUGUAGCGGUGAAAUGCGCAGAUAUCAGGAAGAACACCCGUGGCUAAGGCGGCUCUCUAGUACGGUACUGACGCUGAGACGCGAAAGCGUGGGGAGCGAACAGG